Molecule: ribosomal RNA, 433 nt
Filed under: uncultured bacterium
Lineage: Bacteria
Description: partial 16S ribosomal RNA
Rfam family: Bacterial small subunit ribosomal RNA
Source: RNAcentral
AACGAACGCUGGCGGCAUGCCUAACACAUGCAAGUCGAACGAGACCUUCGGGCCUUGUGGCGCACGGGUGCGUAACGCGUGGGAACCUGCCCUUAGGUUCGGAAUAACUCAGAGAAAUUUGAGCUAAUACCGGAUGAUGUCUUCGGACCAAAGAUGUUUCGCCUUUGGAUGGGCCCGCGUUGGAUUAGCUGGUUGGUGGGGUAAAGGCCUACCAUGGCGUCGAUCCAUAGCUGGUCUGAUAGGAUGAUCAACCACACUGGGACUGAGACACGGCCCAGACUCCUACGGAAGGGAGCAGUGGGGAAUAUUGUGCAAUGGGGGAAAGCCUAAUCAAGCAAUGCCGGGUGAGUGAUGAAGGCCUUAGGGUUGUAAAGCUCUUUUACCCGAGAUGAUAAUGACAGUAACGGGAGAAUAAGCUCCGGCUAACUACGUG